ACAGCAGCCGCCAGGUAAUACAGAGGGUGCGAGCGUUAAUCGGAUUUACUGGGCGUAAAGCGUGCGUAGGCGGCUAAUUGAGUCGGAUGUGAAAUCCCUGAGCUUAACUUAGGAAUUGCAUUCGAUACUGGGAAGCUAGAGUAUGGGAGAGGAUGGUAGAAUUCCAGGUGUAGCGGUGAAAUGCGUAGAGAUCUGGAGGAAUACCGAUGGCGAAGGCAGCCAUCUGGCCUAAUACUGACGCUGAGGUACGAAAGCAUGGGGAGCAAACAGGAUUAGAUACCCGCGUAGUCCCUGUCUCUUAUACA
RNAcentral lists this ribosomal RNA (305 nucleotides) under uncultured bacterium. RNAcentral describes it as "partial 16S ribosomal RNA". It matches the Rfam family "Bacterial small subunit ribosomal RNA", at positions 508 to 808 of the family's 1533-position model. The record is from RNAcentral.